CCAAAACAACAAUUGGAUACUGCUCUAAUUCAAAUGUUAUAUACAAUGCUCAACUGUUAUCCACAAACAGUAUCAAGAUGAACACAUUGCACAAUCAUUAAUAAAAUGGUAACAAAAUUACACACACACACACAUAUAUAUUGUUCGCAGGUUCAAGCACAAGUCAAUCUUCACAAAAGCAAAGCUUGGCCAUCUUGGCAACCAUCCAGAAAACACAAGUCACAUAAAAGGACCCCUAUUCACUGGUCUAAAAUAGUUCAAACACUAGAUGGUCCAAAUAAUUGAGUAACAUCCAUGAGCACAAGAUUUCUACUCCAUAACACUUGAGCACCAAAUGGUCCAGAAAACACAUAAGAUUCACGAUUACAAUUAAGUUGGCUGGUCCAAAAUACUGUAGACAGCCAAAUGCUCCAGAACACUUCAAAGUCAUCACAUCCAUGCGUACUAGGUUGCUGAUUACCUGAAAAUACUCCACAAGAAUUUGGUAGAAAGUGGAGUCAGCUCAAGUGCUUUGAAGCUCAUAGGGAGAUUGGCAGCCGAGAGAAGCACAAGAAUUAACUAUUUAUGACAUAUAUCCAUAACACACAUAACAUAGUUCGGUCAUACAUGAGGUCAAAUAUUUAUAAAAUGCUGAAACGAAUCAUCAUGCAGACAUAUCUACAUAUGCAUAGAAUAAGUAUUUCGCCAUGGCAAGCAUAUCUACAAAUUUUAUUCAACGUCUUACAUGCAAGAAAAUGUAGUAGGAUAAGCCAAUGUGAAGUUGUAUUUGUUCUAAUACGAAGUUAGCUGAUGUGAUCUUCAAAGUUUGAAAAUAAUGGUACAAAUAAGUGUUAGUACGUUAUCUGAUGAAGUAGAACUAAAAUGUACAAGUUCUGACCAAAAAAAUUGUAAUAUGUGAAGUUCAGUUUAUGCCAUGUGAUUUUCAGAUUGUGACCACCAAAGGGAUAACGCCAAACUAAUGUGUGUAUGUUUAACUCCUAAGCAAUGUAUGUGCGCUUCAAAUCAUGUUGUGUCAUUUUCAUAUUUUUAAUUAUAAACUGCAGUAUGUGGAGUUUUAUCAACAAGAUACAAAACAUAUCUAGUAAUGCUAUAAGUUCAGGCAGAAAUCUGGCUCUCUAGUCAAGGCUCAAAAUGAUCUAUGUAUAUUUCUAAGAGAGAAAUAAUAAACUUAAUGUAUGUCAUAUGUUUAGUACCUGCACCUGGUACAUUAGUUGCCUUCUUGUCAUCCUUGAUCUACAACAAUAACCGUGAAAUAGCAGGUGCCUUCUUAUCAGUUUGAGGCUACUUCUUCCACUGCAAAUUGCUCUGACAAAAUGUGUAGACAUGUAUCAACCAUCCUGCAAAAAAGGAAAAAUGUGUUCAAUAUAGAUAACUCGACUUCCCAUAAAUCAAAUCAUAAAGUAAAGGCCAAAGGUCUGCAAGUUAUGUACUUGGUUAGUAUAAUGAAUGAACUUGUCAAAAGAACAAAUAUUAUGCCAUCAACCAGAAUGAACACAAACAUCUCAUAAAAGUACAUUGAAAGUCUGAAUUCUGAAACUAUCUAGCCACUGCACUAAGGCGGCCUCUAAGGUUUGAAUGUGAUCGGAACUUGCAACUCCCCUCUGGAAACCAUAUCCAGCUUCAAGUAGUUGAAGGUAUGUGGAUGCAGAGGAAGAUGAGAUUAUAUGUUGAACCUAAGGUUUGAAUGCUAAUGCCAUAUUCAUGAAAAAGGAAAACUUCACCGUGCUCACAUAAAAAAAUUAUAUCAAACGAAGACACCGUUAUUCAUAAAUAUCCAGUGUAUUCAAAAGUGAUGGAGAAUAAAAUUGGAAUGUGCCUCCUCAAACGCUGACUGGACUCAGGGUCCACCUCGGCGCCCUCCGCUCGCCCACCUCCCGUCCUCGUUGACAGGUAGUACCACGGACUUGCUGCCCUGUAGGCUCAACAUCAUGUACAACCGCUCCUGCAGCACCAAGCACGUCGACCCAAAAUUAAACCAUGUAGCAUCAGAAACUACAAGAUGUUACAGCACAAACAACAUUCAGUUCUACAACAAAGUUGAAGCCAACUCAAUGGUUUGCACUAUAUAACUUAGUAAUAUGUAUUGACAAUCAAAAGUGCUUCAAGUAAAAAAAACACAGAGGUUAUGCACCUACUUCCGUUUGACCACGACAACUCACCCACAGAAUUGGAAGUCACACAAUGGGUCACGGCUUUAAAUAACAAAAUUGAACCACCUAGAAAUCAGGAAGUCACACAAUGCUAACACUUUGUAAUUUAAAGGAGAUAAAGAGUUCAGAAUCGUAUGAUGAAUAGAAAAAUGAAAAUCAGCUAUGAGACAUGGAUGUCAGAUGGCUUGCUAUGUUUUGUAGCACCAAUCUAUGUGUAAAAAUUGAGAUGCUGAGAAAUAGGAAUAAGAAUUGUACAAUAAACAAAUCUUAGCAGAAAAUAUGAAAGUAUUACCCUAAUUUUCAGAGUUCAGCAAUGACAUAUGGUUUAAUGUUCAGCAAUGCACAAGCACGCAUCAUGCAACAGUACAGAAAAGGAUAUCUCAGGAGGAGCCGAUGCCUACCUAUUGGAAAAGACGAGUCUGUGUGGAUAUCUGCAGCAACAGACGACUGGCUUCGGG
RNAcentral lists this long non-coding RNA (2608 nucleotides) under Triticum aestivum (bread wheat). RNAcentral's name for it is "long non-coding RNA (TAES_LNC000708)". The record is from RNAcentral. Lineage: Eukaryota; Viridiplantae; Streptophyta; Magnoliopsida; Poales; Poaceae.